This 788-nucleotide small RNA is filed under the name Oryza sativa Japonica Group (Japanese rice). RNAcentral's name for it is "sRNA Os02g0777001". Lineage: Eukaryota; Viridiplantae; Streptophyta; Magnoliopsida; Poales; Poaceae. The record is from RNAcentral.
GCUGACGAGAAGACGCCACUGUCCCUCCCUCCCUCCGCCCAUCCAUCCAUCCGCCUGCUUGCCUGCCUGCCUGCCUGCCUGUACGCAUGACAAGCAGCACACUGCCUGCCUGCUGCCGAAGCAUGCAUGCAGCGGGGUGUCCUGUCCCUGCAUGCUGCUGCUGCAGACGCAUCAGAGAUGACACAGAGAGAGAGAGAGAAGGCAGCUGUCUACUCCAGCAGGGAGCAGCACUGCACAUAUGCCAUGCAUCUGUGAAUCAGAUGGGAAGCCUUACAUAAGCUGUGCAGGCUGUGGCAGGCCAGGCAAUCUGACCACUUCUUUGACUCAUCAUGUAGGGGAGAGAAGGGACCUUCAGCUGAGGUAGUAGCUCGUCUUCACUGUUCUGAGCUCUGGACGGACACUCCCAGCUUGCAUGCCUUGGGGGACAAAACAUGUGCUAUCAGUGAGUGAGUUGAGUGAGUGAGGAGUUUGUUUUGGUUAUUCAUUUGCUGAUCAGGUUUUGCAGGAAUAUUAAUGGCAAUAGAAAUGUUAUUUCCCCUCGUAGUAGGAGUAAGUGGUUGCCAUGGGCUUCAUGAUGCAUUCAGGCAUGCUCGCAUCAUGCGGUGACAAAAGUACAAACGUUCUACGUACCCCGUGUACUUCUCCUACAAAGUACUACCGGCUGCAUUUCCAACAGAAUGUAGAAGUAGAUUUGUUGUAACCUACCUGUACUCCCAAACAUACUGCAUUUUCCAUGCAUGUACUUCUUACCUUUUAAAAGAACGACAAACGCUACACAUUACCCCCUU